Molecule: ribosomal RNA, 253 nt
Filed under: uncultured archaeon
Lineage: Archaea
Description: partial 16S ribosomal RNA
Rfam family: Archaeal small subunit ribosomal RNA
Source: RNAcentral
CCCCAGCGCCACAAGUGCCAUUCACGUUUAUUGGGCCUAAAGCGUCCGUAGCAGGUUCUACACAUUCCUUGUGAAAUUGCCAAGCUCAACUUGGCAGAGUGCAGGGGGCACGGUAGGACUUGAGACCGGGAAGGGUUAGAGGUAUUCCUGAGGGAGCGGUAAAAUGCUAUAAUCUCAGGAGGACCACCUGUGGCGAAGGCGUCUAACUAGAACGGAUCUGACUGUGAGGGACGAAAGCUAGGGGAGCAAAACG